AUUGAACGCUGGCGGCAGGCCUAACACAUGCAAGUCGAGCGGAGCGGCGGACGGGUGAGUAAUGCCUAGGAAUCUGCCCGGUAGUGGGGGAUAACGUCCGGAAACGGGCGCUAAUACCGCAUACUCUCAGAUGUGCCUAGAUCGGAUUAGCUAGUUGGUGGGGUAACGGCCCACCAAGGCCACGAUCCCUAACUGGUCUGAGAGGAUGACCAGCCACACUGGAACUGAGACACGGUCCAGACUCCUACGGGAGGCAGCAGUGGGGAAUAUUGGACAAUGGGCGCAAGCCUGAUGCAGCCAUGCCGCGUGUGUGAAGAAGGUCUUCGGGUUGUAAAGUACUUUCAGAGGGGAGGCGUUACCAGCAGAAGAAGCACCGGCUAACUCCGUGCCAGCAGCCGCGGUAAUAC
RNAcentral lists this ribosomal RNA (407 nucleotides) under uncultured bacterium. Its description in RNAcentral is "partial 16S ribosomal RNA". It matches the Rfam family "Bacterial small subunit ribosomal RNA", at positions 30 to 526 of the family's 1533-position model. The record is from RNAcentral.